GAAAAGAAACCAACAGGGAUUGCCCUAGUAACGGCGAGUGAAGCGGCAACAGCUCAAAUUUGAAAGCUGGCUCCGGCCCGCAUUGUAAUUUGCAGAGGAUGCUUUUGGCGAGGUGCCUUCCGAGUUCCCUGGAACGGGACGCCAUAGAGGGUGAGAGCCCCGUAUGGAUGGACACCAGACCUGUGUAAAGCUCCUUCAACGAGUCGAGUAGUUUGGGAAUGCUGCUCUAAAUGGGAGGUAAAUCUCUUCUAAAGCUAAAUACCGGCCAGAGACCGAUAGCGCACAAGUAGAGUGAUCGAAAGAUGAAAAGCACCUUGAAAAGGGGGUUAAACAGUACGUGAAAUUGUUGAAAGGGAAGCGCUUGUGACCAGACUUGCGCCGGGCAGCUCAUCAGGGGUUCUCCCCUGUGCACUCUGCCCGGCUCAGGCCAGCAUCGGUUCUCGUGGGAGGAUAAGAACAGUGGGAACGUGGCCCCCUCUCGGGGGGGUGUUAUAGCCCAUUGUACGAUACUCUCGUGGGGACCGAGGUUCGCGCUCCGCAAGGAUGCUGGCGUAAUGGUCAUCAGCGACCCGUCUUGAAACACGGACCAAGGAGUCGUCCAUUAGAGCGAGCGUUUGGGUGUAAAACCCGCACGCGUAAUGAAAGUGAACGCAGGUGAGAGCUUCGGCGCAUCAUCGACCGAUCCUGAUGUCUUCGGAUGGAUUUGAGUAAGAGUUUUAACGGACGGACCCGAAAGACAGUGAACUAUGCUUGUAUAGGGUGAAGCCAGAGGAAACUCUGGUGGAGGCUCGCAGCGGUUCUGACGUGCAAAUCGAUCGUCAAAUAUGAGCAUGGGGGCGAAAGACUAAUCGAACUGUCUAGUAGCUGGUUACCGCCGAAGUUUCCCUCAGGAUAGCAGUGUUGUUCUUCAGUUUUAUGAGGUAAAGCGAAUGAUUAGGGACUCGGGGGCGCUUAUUAGCCUUCAUCCAUUCUCAAACUUUAAAUAUGUAAGAAGCCCUUGUUACUUAAUUGAACGUGGGCAUUCGAAUGUACCAACACUAGUGGGCCAUUUUUGGUAAGCAGAACUGGCGAUGCGGGAUGAACCGAACGCGGGGUUAAGGCGCCAGAGUGUACGCUCAUCAGACACCACAAAAGGCGUUAGUACAUCUUGACAGCAGGACGGUGGCCAUGGAAGUCGGAAUCCGCUAAGGACUGUGUAACAACUCACCUGCCGAAUGUACUAGCCCUGAAAAUGGAUGGCGCUCAAGCGUACCGCCCAUACCCCGCCCUCAGGGUAGAAACGAUGCCCUGAGGAGUAGGCGGCCGUGGGGGUCAGUGACGAAGCCUAGGGCGUGAGCC
RNAcentral lists this ribosomal RNA (1338 nucleotides) under Cytospora hoffmannii. RNAcentral describes it as "eukaryotic LSU rRNA". It matches the Rfam family "Eukaryotic large subunit ribosomal RNA", at positions 56 to 1423 of the family's 3401-position model. Lineage: Eukaryota; Fungi; Ascomycota; Sordariomycetes; Diaporthales; Cytosporaceae. The record is from RNAcentral.